GUAAGUGUUAGGGAGCACACCUGGCAUAUACACACUGCGUUUCUGAAUGUGUGCCGGAAAUGUUCGGAACAUGCUGUUAUUCCGGGACCAUCGAAAAUAAAGGGAAAUUUUGGAGCUCGCCUAACUCCCACAGCAUCAGUGACACAGACAUGAAUGAAUGUUUGGCUUAGUCCAGACGAUCAGGAAAUUCCUUUGGGAAUGGAUCCCAUGUGGAUGUUGCAGGGAAUUACACACUAAUGUAAAAUGAGUCUAGAGAUCAAACAGCCGAACCGAGACACGGGCUGCGUCCGGAACCGCACACUUACCUACUGCACAGUAGGCGAAAAGCAGUACACCAGAGGGGUAGUAUGUCCGAAUUCUCAGUAGGCGAGAAAUACCCGGAUGGUGUACUGCUUCCGGCUAGAUUUUGUAGUAUGCAACUGAUGACCUGCGUGAAGUUGACCCCCACCCAACGCAAAACGUCGGCAAAAUAGUCUGAAUCAUUUGUGCUCCGUUUGUGCCGAUGAAAGUUCCGUUUGAGCUGCUUCAGUUUUUUAAAUAUUAGAUAUUAAAUUAUAGGCGAUGACGUCACCAACCCCCACACGCUCCAAAUUCACCCCCAAAUAGUCUCAAUCGUUUGUGCUAAUAAGAGCUUCAUUUUUGCGACUGUCUUUCUUUUUUUUAACAAUACAGUUGAAGAAACAAAGUAACAUCCAAAUGGCAAAACAAAUCACAUUAAAUAGUCGUAUUCACUUAAUUGUUAACUAUCUACUGUUCGUUUUCAACUUUUAAGGGACACAGCGGAGCACAGGAUGUGUGAAAUGUAACACGAACUCCAAGACUUGAGUGUAAAGACCAUCAAGCCCGACUUCCAGUAUUGCAGAGACGACUUCUCCAAGCAGUAGUAGGAAAAUGAGGACAUUCCUGUCACUCCACUUCUCAGGUCUUCAUACAUCUCCCAGACACAUGGAGACCUCCUGCAGUAGGCCACAUAAUGCCCAAGAGCAUCCUGGGUAAAGCCUCCUCUGAAAGCAAUGACUGCCCUUAGAGUAAAUCUCUCUCCUUGGAGCAUCAGAUUGGAGGGAAUUUCACAGGUGCUUCCCAGGUCAGUGUCCAUAAACAGAAGUUCUACCAGACUGUAACUGUGAGAAACAUUCCUUGCACAGAGCACUUUUCCUGAGGUAGAGUCUGUCUUGAAUUCAGAGGGACAGUGUGACGGACUUUGGAUUGGCCUCAGGCAGGGGGACUCCGGAAGGUUAAGGCCUUCUUCCACUGCCGUCUGAAGGGUGGCCAAAUUAGGCAGAUGGAUUGGCUCAGGAUCUCCAAAAUCCAUCAGCUUUGUUGCCUCUGAUGCCCUCCAUACAUGGAGUUGCAUUCUGCUCUCACACAGUUCUUUGGCUGUCUGCACAUGCAAGUUACCAGACAUCGCAUGCUUGGAACAGCCAGUGUGCAGGGAGUCAUUAGUGUUUUUAAUUAAACACUUGAGCACCAUUGGGCUGUUCAUUUCACACUGUCAAAUUUUAUGUGAAUGUGGCCAAGGCAUUCCUUACAGUUGCCUCUGAUUUCUAUGAAUUUCUCUGUGGCUGAUUGAUAGACCUUGGCUCUUUUAAAGGCUAAUGUGCAGGGGCUUUUCACUUCUUGCCAAAUGUGAUUAUUUAUCACAUGUGUCCAGAUGCCAGGCUUCAAAGUUGUGUAUUCCCUUUUUUGUGUUUUAGAGAACUUGUUUUUGUAUUGAACUGUUUCAGGCCUAAAUUCAAUCCAUUUUUGAAAUGGAACUUCAACAUCAAAAAGUCCAGCAGUCUUUUGGUCUGGGGGAAAAGGGACCCUGGCUCAAAAUCAGUGUCAUCAUUACUGCCACUUGUUUCAUGAUCACUUUCAUAAAUAAACCCUAAAGCAGUCCAGAUGUUGUGUCUGUUCAAUUUAACAAACGUAUAUAGAGCCUUUGCAGUGAGCUUGUUUUUUUUGCUGCUCACUAAGCUCUGUCCAGAUGCUCUGAUUAGGAGUAGCUAUGUUGUCAUUUUGGACUAUGGCCUCUUUUGAUGAACAGAGGACUGUGAAAAUGGACUCCCUGAUGAAUGCUGGUUUCUUGGGCAUCUACCCACUGAAAUAAUGUAUUUUAAUCAUGUACAUUAUGUAUGUAUAUUAAUCAUGUAUUACUGUAUUUGCCUGAAUACAAGGAAAAUGUAAUAUAGUAUUAAUAUAUUAGGUUAUUAUAUCUUAUAUUAGGACCAAUAUGGUAAUGUUGACCCCUAGAUGCAUAACCUAUUCAAAAAAACUAAUAAGGGUACCAUGUACAGCUGUAAUUAGCAUUUCAU
This is a long non-coding RNA of Ictalurus punctatus (channel catfish), 2294 nucleotides long. NCBI's taxonomy places the organism in Eukaryota, Metazoa, Chordata, Actinopteri, Siluriformes, Ictaluridae. The record is from Ensembl.